AUUGAACGCUGGCGGCAUGCUUUACACAUGCAAGUCAAACGGCAGCACGGGUGCUUGCACCUGGUGGCGAGUGGCGAACGGGUGAGUAAUGUAUCGGAACGUACCCGGCAAUGGGGGAUAACGUAGCAAAAGUUACGCUAAUACCGCAUAUGCCCUGAGGGGGAAAGUGGGGGAUCGCAAGACCUCACGUUGUCGGAGCGGCCGAUAUCAGAUUAGCUAGUUGGUGGGGUAAAGGCCUAACAAGGCGACGAUCUGUAGCUGGUCUGAGAGGACGACCAGGCACACGGGGACUGAGACACGGCCCAGACGCCUACGGGAGGCAGCAGUGGGGAAUUUUGGACGAUGGGGGCAACCCUGAUCCAGCCAUGCCGCGUGAGUGAAGAAGGCCUUCGGGUUGUAAAGCACUUUUGUCCGGAAAGAAAUGGCUCUGGUUAAUACCUGGGGUCGAUGACGGUACCGGAAGAAUAAGGACCGGCUAACUACGUGCCAGCAGCCGCAGUAA
Molecule: ribosomal RNA, 502 nt
Filed under: uncultured bacterium
Lineage: Bacteria
Description: partial 16S ribosomal RNA
Rfam family: Bacterial small subunit ribosomal RNA
Source: RNAcentral